AUUGAACGCUGGCGGCAUGCCUUACACAUGCAAGUCGAACGGCAGCGGGCCCUUCGGGGUGCCGGCGAGUGGCGAACGGGUGAGUAAUGCAUCGGAACGUACCCGGGAGAGGGGGAUAACCGGCCGAAAGGCUGGCUAAUACCGCAUGAACUCGGAAGAGCAAAGCGGGGGACCUUCGGGCCUCGCGCUCUCGGAGCGGCCGAUGUCCGAUUAGGCUAGUUGGUGGGGUAAAGGCCCACCAAGGCGACGAUCGGUAGCGGGUCUGAGGGGACGAUCCGCCACACUGGGACUGAGACACGGCCCAGACUCCUACGGGAGGCAGCAGUGGGGAAUCUUGGACAAUGGGCGCAAGCCUGAUCCAGCAAUGCCGCGUGGGUGAAGAAGGCCUUCGGGUUGUAAAGCCCUUUCGGCGGGGAAGAAAUCGGUCAGGCGAAUAGUCUGGCCGGAUGACGGUACCCGCAGAAGAAGCACCGGCUAACUACGUG
RNAcentral lists this ribosomal RNA (485 nucleotides) under uncultured bacterium. RNAcentral describes it as "partial 16S ribosomal RNA". It matches the Rfam family "Bacterial small subunit ribosomal RNA", at positions 28 to 507 of the family's 1533-position model. The record is from RNAcentral.